CGCGUAGGCGGCCUAUCAAGUCAGGUGUGAAAGUCCACGGCUCAACCGUGGAAGUGCAUUUGAAACUGAUAGGCUUGAGUACUGGAGGGGAGUGUGGAAUUCCUGGUGUAGAGGUGAAAUUCGUAGAGAUCAGGAGGAAUACCGGUGGCGAAGGCGACACUCUGGACAGAUACUGACGCUGAGGCGCGAAAGCGUGGGGAGCAAACA
This 207-nucleotide ribosomal RNA is filed under the name uncultured bacterium. RNAcentral's name for it is "partial 16S ribosomal RNA". It matches the Rfam family "Bacterial small subunit ribosomal RNA", at positions 568 to 774 of the family's 1533-position model. The record is from RNAcentral.